ACAAGAAAAAGCAGUAUUUCGCGGAUUCUUGCCAUCCCUGCAAAACAAAUUGAGCUGUA
Molecule: transfer RNA, 59 nt
Filed under: Coccinia grandis
Lineage: Eukaryota; Viridiplantae; Streptophyta; Magnoliopsida; Cucurbitales; Cucurbitaceae
Description: tRNA-Gln
Source: RNAcentral